This is a long non-coding RNA of Micropterus salmoides (largemouth bass), 534 nucleotides long. RefSeq lists it as uncharacterized. Lineage: Eukaryota; Metazoa; Chordata; Actinopteri; Centrarchiformes; Centrarchidae. The transcript has 4 exons. The record is from RefSeq and is a predicted model, not a curated record.
UCUCCGCUCCCUGUUUGCUCGCACACGCAUGCGUCAAUCGGUAGCUUGUAACAGGAAGAUUUCCAUCAUAUCCUUCUUUAGAAACACCGAAAUUAUCGGUAAGAAAAAUACCCGUUUUGGGAGAAAAAUCCUCCUCACCCCGACCUACAGAACAAUAGCCCACAGCUGAGGACGCCCCCGACUUUUUUCAAUACAAGCGCCGAGCGGAUGUCUGGAAAAAGAAAAAAGCUUCUGAAAUCCUCCCAAUCGGGCUACCUGUGCCUCCAGUGAUUCUGAGACCUGAACUUCAAGACAUGGUGCAAAGCUCCCGUGACUCAGAAUCCGCAUCCUGAAUUAUGAUGUGGGACACACUGGACAAACAGCUGUCUAAGAUCUCAAGAGACCGCUGGUUCAAAAGAUGGUUCAAUUUAGAGUUCCCACUGGAAAUGGUUUCAGAAAGUCUUUUCCAUACGUUGGGCUUUGAUGUGUUUUAACUGUCAUAAUCUUUCCGUUCAGAGAUGUGGAAAAUAAAUUCUGUUAAUUUUUCUAUUGUAA